UUAAGUUCAGCGGGUAUCCCUACCUGAUCCGAGGUCAACCUUGUUAAAAAUAUAGGUGGUGACCGUAUGUCCUCCCGACCGCUUUUAGGGGUCCGGCACGUGCUCCCGCAAAGGUGCUCCAUGUACCGAGGGUCGAACAGGACUCCGUCAUUGUCUUUGGGAGGGGUUCGAUUACUCGAACCAACCGUCCAACGCCAAAC
This 200-nucleotide unclassified non-coding RNA is filed under the name Herpotrichiellaceae sp. RNAcentral describes it as "partial internal transcribed spacer 2". Lineage: Eukaryota; Fungi; Ascomycota; Eurotiomycetes; Chaetothyriales; Herpotrichiellaceae. The record is from RNAcentral.